This is a long non-coding RNA of Terrapene triunguis (Three-toed box turtle), 208 nucleotides long. RefSeq lists it as uncharacterized. The transcript has 3 exons. NCBI's taxonomy places the organism in Eukaryota, Metazoa, Chordata, Testudines, Emydidae. The record is from RefSeq and is a predicted model, not a curated record.
CGGCUGUGGCGGAGAGGAUUGUGGAGCUCAUUGAGGAGCUUCCUCCUAACUCUCCACCCGGCGCCAUCCUGGCCAACUCCCUCAUUGCUGUGGCCAACCUCAGCACCAUGACACCUGCCCUGGAGCCGGAGCUGGAGACCCACCUCCUCCAAGCCACCCUGCACGCAGUCUUCACCCUGGGCACGCAGACGGACACCAAUCAAGUCCA